GUCAUAUGCUUAUGUCAAAGAUUAAGCCAUGCAUGUCUAAGUACACAGACUAGUACUCUGAAACCGCGGAUGGCUCAUUAUAACAGCUAUAAUUUGAGAGAUUUAAUGCUUGCUACAGGAUAACUGUGGUAAUUCUAGAGCUAAUAUUUUAAAAAUAUCGUGACUUCGGAAGCGAUGGAUUUAUUAGAUCAAAAUCAACCCAUUUAACGAUGGUAUUUUGGUGACUCUGGAUAACUUGACUGAUCGUACAGCCUUAGUGCUGAUGACAUAUCUCUUGAAAUGGCUGACCUAUCAACUUUCGAUGGUAAGAUCAAAGCUUACCAUGGUUAUAACGGGUAACGGGGAAUCAGGGUUCGAUUCCGGAGAGGGAGCCUGAGAAACGGCUACCACAUCCACGGAAGGCAGCAGGCGCGUAAAUUACCCAAUACCGGCUCGGUGAGGUAGUGACAAUAAAUAACAAUAUGAGCCCAUAUGGGUUUCGUAAUUGCAAUGAGAACAUUUUAAAUACUUUAUCAAGUAUCAAUUGGAGGGCAAGUCU
RNAcentral lists this ribosomal RNA (538 nucleotides) under Crenobia alpina. RNAcentral describes it as "SSU rRNA". It matches the Rfam family "Eukaryotic small subunit ribosomal RNA", at positions 23 to 562 of the family's 1831-position model. Lineage: Eukaryota; Metazoa; Platyhelminthes; Tricladida; Planariidae. The record is from RNAcentral.